UGGGGAAUCUUGCGCAAUGGGCGAAAGCCUGACGCAGCGACGCCGCGUGAGUGAUGAAGGCCUUCGGGUUGUAAAGCUCUGUGGGCGGGGACGAAUAAGGGUUGGCUAAUAUCCAACCUGAUGACGGUACCCGUUUAGCAAGCACCGGCUAACUCUGUGCCAGCAGCCGCGGUAAGACAGAGGGUGCAAACGUUGUUCGGAAUUACUGGGCGUAAAGCGCGUGUAGGCUGCUCCGCAAGUCGGAUGUGAAAGCCCUGGGCUCAACCUAGGAAGUGCAUUCGAUACUGCAGAGCUUGAGUCCUGGAGAGGAAGGCGGAAUUCUCGGUGUAGAGGUGAAAUUCGUAGAUAUCGAGAGGAACACCGGUGGCGAAGGCGGCCUUCUGGACAGUGACUGACGCUGAGACGCGAAAGCGUGGGGAGCAAACAG
Molecule: ribosomal RNA, 427 nt
Filed under: uncultured bacterium
Lineage: Bacteria
Description: bacterial SSU rRNA
Rfam family: Bacterial small subunit ribosomal RNA
Source: RNAcentral